This 235-nucleotide ribosomal RNA is filed under the name uncultured Actinomycetales bacterium. RNAcentral's name for it is "partial 16S ribosomal RNA". It matches the Rfam family "Bacterial small subunit ribosomal RNA", at positions 96 to 334 of the family's 1533-position model. The record is from RNAcentral. Lineage: Bacteria; Bacillati; Actinomycetota; Actinomycetes; Actinomycetales.
UGGCGAACGGGUGAGUAACACGUGGGUGAUCUGCCCUGCACUUCGGGAUAAGCUUGGGAAACUGGGUCUAAUACCAGAUAGGAGCCAUCUUUAGUGUGGUGGUUGGAAAGUUUUUUCGGUGUAGGAUGAGCUCGCGGCCUAUCAGCUUGUUGGUGGGGUAAUGGCCUACCAAGGCGGCGACGGGUAGCCGGCCUGAGAGGGUGUACGGCCACAUUGGGACUGAGAUACGGCCCAG